GAUGAACGCUGGCGGCGUGCCUAAUACAUGCAAGUCGUACGGAAAGGCCCUUCGGGGUACUCGAGAGGCGGACGGCUGAGUAACGCGUGGGAACGUGCCCCAAAGUGAGGGAUAACGCACCGAAAGGUGUGCUAAUACCGCAUAUGGUCUUCGGAUUAAAGCUUCGGCGCUUUGGGAGCGGCCCGCGUACGAUUAGAUAGUUGGUGAGGUAAUGGCUCACCAAGUCGACGAUCGCUAGCUGGUCUGAGAGGAUGAUCAGCCAGACUGGGACUGAGACACGGCCCAGACUCCUACGAGAGGCAGCAGUAAGGAAUCUUCCACAAUGGGGGCAACCCUGAUGGAGCAACGCCGCGUGCAGGAUGAAGGUUUUCGGAUCGUAAACUGCUUUUAUAAGUGAAGAAUAUGACGGUAACUUAUGAAUAAGGAUCGGCUAACUACGUGCCAGCCGCCGCCGUAA
RNAcentral lists this ribosomal RNA (457 nucleotides) under uncultured bacterium. RNAcentral's name for it is "partial 16S ribosomal RNA". It matches the Rfam family "Bacterial small subunit ribosomal RNA", at positions 28 to 523 of the family's 1533-position model. The record is from RNAcentral.